Molecule: long non-coding RNA, 2150 nt
Organism: Numida meleagris (helmeted guineafowl)
Lineage: Eukaryota; Metazoa; Chordata; Aves; Galliformes; Numididae
Exons: 4
Source: RefSeq, a predicted model, not a curated record
CCCAGGGAGCCCAGUUCACUGAGGACUUUCAGCAGUAUUCAGACAACUCUGAGACAGAUCUGAGGGUCAUAAACCAUUAUUUACUCUAUGGGCCACACAGGAAGAAUUACUUCUGUUUACAUCAUCUCAAGGAGUGGCACUGACAUAAAUCAGGUGCCAUUAUUGUUCUGACUGAUUUCAUGACGUGAUUUGUGGAGCUUAAGAUGGCUUUUUCUUCCAAGGUUUCAUCCUCAUCAAAAUGUGCAUCUCCACCAAAGUCCUUGCCAGGUGCGUAGGCAUGAGCAACAGACCCUCCUGGGCCGUCAAAGGGGAUGAAAUCGUUGUGACCUGAGGAGUGAGUCCCACAGACAGCUGACUGGAGGCUACAGCAAGUGAGCACAUUGUGGAGAGCAUUCUGAAGAGAAGAAUGCAAGGUCUUCAGAUGGAAUGCAGACAGACCCUGGACAAGGUGGAAGCAAGAGGGCAGCUGAUGGGGCUCAGCAGGGGGAGCCUGCUCACAAAGGGCUGAAUUCCUGCCCUGACAUCAGACACCUAACUGAAACACUGACAGCAGGGGCAGUGACCUCCCCCUCAGUCCUGGAAGGAGAUGGACAAACUCAGGGAAUUACGCUGAACUGAGACAACUGAGCUGCUUUCAGGAAGAGAACCACAAGGGAGCUCAUACAGGCAGCUUUCAAUUACUCUGCUCAUACUCUGCUAGGUGUGUCACACUGGGUGGGUGAGAUGAACCUAUAAAUUGAGUGUGAUGUUCUCCUAUGCAGCUUACACACCCACGAUAUCACUUGUAGAAAUAGCUUCUAGUACUUGCAAACUAACACACUGAAGCCUUACAACUUUUUUCACUUCCCACGAGACGCAACUACUCGCCAAGUGUUCAGUGUGUCUCUAUGUGUACAGUGUCUCCAUGGUUCUAGUGCACAGAAGUAACUUUCUGACCUGUAGAACUUGGUACAAGUAUUCCAAAUAUUCCUCACUAUUCUUUCUGUCUAAUGGGAGGGCCACUGGAGGAGGCUGAGAUGAUCUAGAGGGGUAUUGUUGAAAUUUAUGCAAUCUUCUGAUUGGCAUCCUUCUCAAGUACAUCCUUUUCUACUCUGACAACACUUUCUCACUGUUCACCAUUGCCCACAAGAGAUCAGUCACCAAAUCAAACAUCUUUCAAUCAUCCAGAAUAGGUCUUAUGAAGAAAAUUCCACACCAAUCCCCUCUGAAUUUGUAUUUUGAAGACUUCAUCCAGAAGUAGUACAACAUAUGUAAUGUUAUAUAAUAGUAUAUGAAAAUCUCAUGCUCUGUCUUAAAUAAGUGAGUGUGAAAGUUAUGUUCUCUUCCUUUCAGCCCCUCAAAAAGGACAGUCUCUCAAAAUUGGCCCUUUUUUCUCUCUUUCAGAGUCAGUCUUCUGCCUAUGAUGGUUCUGAGCAGCCUGUGCUGCUGAUGAGCAGUGCUUACCACUUGCCUAGCUCUGCUGCAAACCCUAUGCUGUCUCAAAAAUAGCAUAUUACUGAUACAGAUUAGUGUGGGACCAACUUCUGCUUUUUUAUAUAUUACAGUCACCUGUUUUGAUCACACUAAUGCUGAUUCACCAGCAGGACUCCUCUUGUCCUGGUCAGCUUUCACACAGAUCACCCUUUCCUGUCCGGUGCUGAGUCAGGGCCUCCUUACAGCUUAAUUCAUCUUCAUUUUCUCCAUGCUUGUAGCAGUGCUGUCUGUCUGUGAGUGGAGACUUGCUUUGUAUGGAAAACCUGCCCAGGAAGAUCUUAAACCCUAGCCACAGAGAACAGCAUUAGACAGAUAUUUCCAUUACCUCCUCUUCAACCAUAACAACAAUGUUGAAAAUGAAACUUCCUCAAGAAGAGGAAAAGCAGUUCUGCCGUGGGAAGAUCCUUGUCACAACAUAUCCAAAGAAUUCUGUGUGAUACAGUCUUUUCCCUUCCCAAAAAGCAACAUAUGAUGGCUACUGCUGGUAGCACUAGACCAAUCCUCCAGUUGUAGACUGAGUGCCUGUGAGAGAGCUGCCUAAUGUCUGGGUCUGGAGCCUGUUGCUUUGCUGUAGCAUUUACCACUUGUUCUUGUGGCAUUUAUGUGUCAGCAUGCACUGUUAUUAGCCCAUCCACCUAAUACUCUUUAAGGGCCUUAUAAAGCUGCCACUAAAGUCA